UCAAGAACAUUUGACAAUGGGCGAAAGCCUGAUCAAGCGACGCCGCGUGCAGGAAGAAGGCCUUCGGGUCGUAAACUGCGGUAGCGGGGGAAAAACGCAAGUGAUUGUACCCCGCGGAAAGAGGUGGGUAACUACGUGCCAGCACCAGCGGUAAUACGUAGACCUCAAGCGUUAUCCGGAUUUAUUGGGCGUAAAGCGCGUGUAGGAGGUUUUGCGCGUCUCAUGUUAAAGCCCACCGCCUAACGGUGGAACUGCAUGGGAUACGGCAAGGCUAGAGGAGGUUAGAGGUGCAUGGAACACACGGUGUAGGGGUGAAAUCCGUUGAUAUCGUGUGGAACACCAAAGGCGAAGGCAGUGCACUGGGACCUUCCUGACUCUGAGACGCGAAAGCGUGGGGAGCAAAAAGG
RNAcentral lists this ribosomal RNA (407 nucleotides) under uncultured bacterium. RNAcentral describes it as "bacterial SSU rRNA". It matches the Rfam family "Bacterial small subunit ribosomal RNA", at positions 355 to 776 of the family's 1533-position model. The record is from RNAcentral.